GGGGCCGCACAAGCGGUGGAGCAUGUGGUUUAAUCGAUGAUACGCGAGGAACCUUACCUGGGCUCAAAUGUAUGUUGACGUAUUCUGAAAGGGAUACUUCUUCGGACAAUAUACAAGGUGCUGCAUGGUUGUCGUCAGCUCGUGCCGUGAGGUGUCGGGUUAAGUCCCAUAACGAGCGCAACCCUACCUUUUAGUUGCCAUCAGGUAAUGCUGGGGACUCUAAAGGAACUGCCUACGCAAGUAGUGAGGAAGGCGGGGAUGACGUCAAAUCAGCACGGCCCUUACGUCCAGGGCUACACACGUGCUACAAUGGCCGAUACAGAGGGCAGCUACCUGGUGACAGGAUGCUAAUCUCAAAAGCCGGUCUCAGUUCGGAUCGGAGUCUGCAACUCGACUCCAUGAAGUUGGAAUCGCUAGUAAUCGUGGAUCAGCAUGCCACGGUGAAUACGUUCCCGGGCCUU
RNAcentral lists this ribosomal RNA (461 nucleotides) under uncultured Sphingobacteriales bacterium. RNAcentral describes it as "bacterial SSU rRNA". It matches the Rfam family "Bacterial small subunit ribosomal RNA", at positions 917 to 1382 of the family's 1533-position model. The record is from RNAcentral. Lineage: Bacteria; Pseudomonadati; Bacteroidota; Sphingobacteriia; Sphingobacteriales.